UACGAAGGGGGCGAGCGUUGUUCGGAUUUACUGGGCGUAAAGGGCGCGUAGGCGGCCAUGUUAGUCUCGGGUGAAAUCUUUCGGCUCAACCGGAAACGUGCCUGGGAUACUGCAUGGCUGGAGGGAGGUAGGGGCGGACGGAACUUCCGGUGGAGCGGUGAAAUGCGUUGAUAUCGGAAGGAACGCCGGUGGCGAAAGCGGUCCGCUGGACCUCUACUGACGCUGAGGCGCGAAAGCCAGGGGAGCAAACGGG
Molecule: ribosomal RNA, 253 nt
Filed under: uncultured bacterium
Lineage: Bacteria
Description: partial 16S ribosomal RNA
Rfam family: Bacterial small subunit ribosomal RNA
Source: RNAcentral